AGCAGCCGCGGUAAUUCCAGCUCCAAUAGCGUAUAUUAAAGUUGUUGCAGUUAAAAAGCUCGUAGUUGAAUUUCAGGCCUGGCUGGACGGUCCGCCCUUCGGGUGAGUACUGUCUGUGGUCGGGUCCUACCUUCUGGCGAAGCGUCAUGGCCUUAACCGGCCGUGGCGGGGAACCAGGACUUUUACUGUGAAAAAAUUAGAGUGUUUAAAGCAGGCAAUCGCUUGGAUACAUUAGCAUGGAAUAAUGGAAUAGGACAAUGGUUCUAUUUGUUGGUUUCUAGGACCGUUGUAAUGAUUAAUAGGGAUAGUUGGGGGCAUUAGUAUUCAAUUGUCAGAGGUGAAAUUCUUGGAUUUAUUGAAGACUAACUACUGCGAAAGCAUUUGCCAAGGAUGUUUUCAUUAAUCAAGAACGAAAGUUGGGGGCUCGAAGACGAUCAGAUACCGUCCUAGUCUCAACCAUAAACGAUGCCGACCAGGGAUCGGCGGAUGUUACUUUUAGGACUC
This 504-nucleotide ribosomal RNA is filed under the name uncultured Glomeromycotina. Its description in RNAcentral is "SSU rRNA". It matches the Rfam family "Eukaryotic small subunit ribosomal RNA", at positions 569 to 1077 of the family's 1831-position model. The record is from RNAcentral. Lineage: Eukaryota; Fungi; Glomeromycota.